ACACGUUCUGCGCUGUUCCCGUACGGAGGGGCGGUGCAUGGCGAAUAAAAGUGCCCGCCCCGUGCCGCUUCGGCUACCCCAGCUGUAAUGAGACGCGUGCAGCGAGCUGCCCUACAUCGAGCCUUGUGUUUUACGCUGUGGCCUUGGCAUGACGUCGACCGUGACAGCCGUGAACCAGACGCAGAGUCUGGCGGCGAUUCGAAACUUUGUGCGCGCCUCCGUUUCGUGCAUCACGUAUGCAAGGGGGCUCUGCAGCGACAAUGCCUAUGAGCAGCGCCCGUUUCUUGGUCUUCCACUCCGCCAGCUCAUACCAUCAACCACCGAGUCCGUCACAAUCUCGGAGUGGAUCGAGAAGGGCGCCUUUGACGCCCUAAACCGCAACUAUCUAAAAGAGAUGUCUCUGUGCGUAUACGACGCGGCGUGCCGCGAGCUGCUGGAGAGCUACUGCUUCGGCUUCAACUACACCGGCGACGGAGAGCGGGCGCAGAUGACGCUCAACGCCGCACAAACCAUAGCAGAUGGUGCCAACACGACGGCAGUCUCGCAAAGUAGCGGCGGCGCUGUCGGCAUACCCACAUACCGCAAGCGGCGGUGCUCGAAGCAAGAGAUUCAGCACCUACUCACCUCAAUCCUGGAGCGGCUGAUGGAUGUGGUGGAGAGUCUGCCGCCGAUGCUCUCUGAGCGUGUUCUCACGAUGCGCCUCACCUACUAUGACGCGGUGACCCCCGCUUCCUACGAGCCUCCCUGUUUUGCGCCAGCCAGCGAGCAUAUGGCCCGACUUUACCAGGACGAGGUCAAACACCAUGUGCAUAUCGGGUCCGUGGACACUAGCCACCACCUCUUCUCCGUCGCCAUACGGCACCCGCUACUGCAGCAGAUUCAUAGGCAGAUGACAGGCAGGACGACGUCGGCAGUGGCAACAGCGACAGGAAGAGUCCCCCUUGCCGUGGACGAAAGCGCUGCGGUCUCGAUGCCGUCUGACCCACUCCGCUCUGGAUGGGAGAGCAGCUUCUCCUCAGACCCGGCGGUAUCGAGCGCCCUGGCACCAGCUGGUGCCACAGUCACGCACGGCGUGGUCGCAAACCACGUCUCAUGUGGACGUCUCCUUUGCGCCGAUGGAGAGGGCGCCGCGUUUGAUGCGGAGAGUGCUGGGGAAGAGAAUGCUGCUUGCUCCUCGCUCGGCGAGGUGAGCCGGGGCAGUGCUGGCAGAGCUCGCACCGGCGAGGCGCUGCGACCUUGCGAGGUGGCGGCGCUUGACGGCGUCCACCGCUUAAUGGAGAAAAGCACGUCCGGCGGCGAGCGGCGCUUGCUAAGGCCGGCGGAGCUGACUUACCUGCUGUUUGCCGCGUUCGUCUUUACAAAAGCGCCGAGCGCGCGUGGUGGCCGUGGAGAAUUGAAGGCUGACGAGGUAGAGGCCUAUCGUGUGCUACGCUGCCCCUUCGAUGUUUCUGCCGAGGCAGUUCUGCUCGUCCUGCAGCGGCUGAGCAGGGAAGAUUUCCUGCAGCCCUGCAACGCCCGCGGUGCACCGACUCCGAAGAAGCCGAGGACGCAGGACGGGAGCACACCCACCCCCGCAAUCAGAGAGUGGCUUGUGCCAGACCCACCCGCAUCGCUUCUCCAGCAACUCAUGCAGGUCGAUGCGUUGACGGAGCUGCUGACGCAUGAGUCGCACCUCGUCCUGCAGGAGCUCUCUGUGUAUCUGACGCGAGAGGAGUGGCGAAGGGCUCCUCGGGCGAUGACUGCCAAAAGGCGACUUCGGGCCGCAUAAGCACCACAGGUGGGAGUGGAAAGCGGCGGUCGUCCCCGCUGAGGACUCUCAUCGCGCGCCGUGACGCGUGUGAUGGCACCGUUUAGAUGUCGCGGCCCUCUGCUGUCUCAAGGUGCGCUCUGCUAACGUUUUAAAUUUGUUUGUUUGUUUGCUCGAUUGCUGUUCUACUUCUGCUGUUCACGUGCCACUGC
This 1959-nucleotide unclassified non-coding RNA is filed under the name Leishmania donovani. RNAcentral describes it as "gene:LdHU3.36.1510(CDS-product:HORMA_domain_conta ining_protein_putative)". The record is from RNAcentral. Lineage: Eukaryota; Euglenozoa; Kinetoplastea; Trypanosomatida; Trypanosomatidae.